UACGUGGGUGGCAAGCGUUGUUCGGAAUUACUGGGCGUAAAGGGCUCGUAGGCGGCCAACUAAGUCGGAUGUGAAAUCCCCAGGCUUAACCUGGGAACUGCAUCCGAUACUGGAUGGCUUGAAUCCGGGAGAGGGAUGCAGAAUUCCAGGUGUAGCGGUGAAAUGCGUAGAUAUCUGGAGGAAUACCGGUGGCGAAGGCGGCAUCCUGGCCCGGCAUUGACGCUGAUGCGCGAAAGCUAGGGGAGCAAACGGG
RNAcentral lists this ribosomal RNA (253 nucleotides) under uncultured bacterium. Its description in RNAcentral is "partial 16S ribosomal RNA". It matches the Rfam family "Bacterial small subunit ribosomal RNA", at positions 524 to 776 of the family's 1533-position model. The record is from RNAcentral.